AACGUAGGAGACAAACGUUAUCCGGAGUUACUGGGCGUAAAGGGCGUGUAGGUGGUUGCGUAAGUCUGGCGUGAAAUAUCUCGGCUUAACCGAGGCAGGUCGUCGGAUACUGCGUAACUAGAGGACGGUAGAGGCGUGUGGAAUUCCGGGUGUAGUGGUGAAAUGCGUAGAGAUCCGGAGGAACACCAGUGGCGAAGGCGACACGCUGGGCCGUACCUGACACUGAUGCGCGACAGCAUGGGGAGCAAACAGG
This 253-nucleotide ribosomal RNA is filed under the name uncultured bacterium. RNAcentral's name for it is "partial 16S ribosomal RNA". It matches the Rfam family "Bacterial small subunit ribosomal RNA", at positions 524 to 776 of the family's 1533-position model. The record is from RNAcentral.